Molecule: ribosomal RNA, 253 nt
Filed under: uncultured bacterium
Lineage: Bacteria
Description: partial 16S ribosomal RNA
Rfam family: Bacterial small subunit ribosomal RNA
Source: RNAcentral
UACGUAGGGGGCGAGCGUUGUCCGGAAUUAUUGGGCGUAAAGAGCGUGUAGGCGGCUCGUCAAGUCUGCUGUGAAAUCCUGGGGCUCAACCCUGGACGUGCAGCGGAAACUACCGGGCUAGAGGGUGGUAGAGGCGAGUGGAAUUCCGAGUGUAGCGGUGAAAUGCGCAGAUAUUCGGAGGAACACCAGUAGCGAAGGCGGCUCGCUGGGCAACACCUGACGCUGAGACGCGAAAGCGUGGGGAGCGAACAGG